GCAGGUUGAAGCGCGGGUAAGACCGCGUGGAGGACCGAACCCACCUGGGUUGAAAACCGGGGGGAUGACCUGGGGCUAGGGGUGAAAGGCCAAUCAAAUUCCGUGAUAGCUGGUUCUCUCCGAAAUGCAUUUAGGUGCAGCGUCGGUUGAUUGCAUCGCGGGGGUAGAGCUACUGGAUGCUUGCGGGCCCGUGUCGGGUACCAAUAGCAGCCAAACUCCGAAUACCGUGGAUGUGUAUUCCGGCAGUGAGUCGGCGGGGGAUAAGCUCCGUCGUCGAGAGGGAGACAGCCCAGAUCGUCGUCUAAGGUCCCGAAGCGUGUGCUAAGUGGGAAAGGAUGUGGAGUCGCAUAGACAGCCAGGAGGUUGGCUCAGAAGCAGCCAUCCUUGAAAGAGUGCGUAACAGCUCACUGGUCUAGUGGUUCCGCGCCGACAAUGUAGCGGGGCUCAAGCACACCACCGAAGACGCGGCAGUAUUUUGUACUGGGUAGGAGAGCGUCCCAUGAGGGGCGAAGCGGCCGUGUGAACGCGCCGUGGACUUCAUGGGAGUGAGAAUGCAGACAUGAGUAGCGAGAGACGGGUGAAGAUCCCGUCCGCUGGAUGACCAAGGGUUCCAGGGCCACGUUCAUCGUCCCUGGGUGAGUCGGGUCCUAAGGCGAGGCCGACAGGCGUAGUCGAAUGGAUGAACGGGUGGAUAUUCCCGUACCGGCGGCGUACCGUAAGAGCCGAACGGAUGAGUACUAACCUCCGGUCGCGUGGCGUCGUUCCCUUCGGGGUUCGGGGCGCGUGGCUGUUGGGAGCGUAGUCCUGGUAGGCUAGCGCACAGGGGUGACACGGAAUGGGAGCCGGCCGCGGAGGUGGUUUUCCGUGGUCAAGCACGCAGCCCGUCCCAUAGGCAAAUCCGUGGGACGCAUAGGGUGAGGUGUGAUGAUGGGCGUCCUUUGGACGCGAUAUCCGGUGGUCCAGGCCGUCGAGAAAAGCCUCGGCGCGAGGGGCGUCGCCGCCCGUACCCCAAACCGACACUGGUGGUCAGGUAGAGAAUACCAAGGCGAUCGAGCGAAUCCUGGUCAAGGAACUCGGCAAAUCACUCCCGUGCCUUCGGUAUAAGGGAGACCCCCGGGCGUGAAGAGGCUUGCCCUCGGAGCGUUGGGGGGUGGCACAGACCAGGGGGUAGCGACUGUUUACCAAAAACACAGGUGCAUGCGAAGGCGCAAGCCGCUGUAUAUGCACUGACGCCUGCCCGGUGCCGGAAGGUUAAGAGGAUCCGUCAGCCCCUUUUGGGGUGAAGCGGUGAAUUCAAGCCCCGGUAAACGGCGGUGGUAACUAUAACCAUCCUAAGGUAGCGAAAUUCCUUGUCGGGUAAGUUCCGACCUGCACGAAUGGCGUAA
Molecule: ribosomal RNA, 1385 nt
Filed under: human gut metagenome
Description: bacterial LSU rRNA
Rfam family: Bacterial large subunit ribosomal RNA
Source: RNAcentral